This 28-nucleotide small RNA is filed under the name Bombyx mori (domestic silkworm). Its description in RNAcentral is "ovarian small RNA-17548". Lineage: Eukaryota; Metazoa; Arthropoda; Insecta; Lepidoptera; Bombycidae. The record is from RNAcentral.
GGUAACGGUAGGGUAAGGAGUGCCAAAA